This 127-nucleotide small RNA is filed under the name Marmota monax (woodchuck). The record is from RNAcentral. Lineage: Eukaryota; Metazoa; Chordata; Mammalia; Rodentia; Sciuridae.
GCCAGGCAUGGUGGCACAUGCCUGUAAUCCCAGCAACUCAGGAGGCUGGGGCAGGAGGACUGCAAGUUCAAAACCAGCCUCAGCAACUUAGCAAGGCUCUGAGCGACUUAGUGAGACCCUGUCUCAA